This 144-nucleotide non-coding RNA is filed under the name pig gut metagenome. Its description in RNAcentral is "RT-14 RNA". It matches the Rfam family "RT-14 RNA". From Rfam's summary of the family: Cloacimonetes, Firmicutes, Proteobacteria. The record is from RNAcentral.
CUCUAAUACAAAUUUCAGAUUAUGUAUUUUAAGGAAUACAUACAGUAAAGGUAUUAGUAUUAAAGAAACCUAUUCCUUCCUAAAGAGAUUUUAGGUAAACAGGUAUCAAUAAAAUGUGUAUUAGUAGAAAAACGAAUAUACGCA